RNAcentral lists this ribosomal RNA (440 nucleotides) under uncultured bacterium. RNAcentral describes it as "partial 16S ribosomal RNA". It matches the Rfam family "Bacterial small subunit ribosomal RNA", at positions 338 to 795 of the family's 1533-position model. The record is from RNAcentral.
CCUACGUGAGGCAGCAGUGGGGAAUAUUGCACAAUGGGGGAAACCCUGAUGCAGCGACGCCGCGUGAGUGAAGAAGUAUUUCGGUAUGUAAAGCUCUAUCAGCAGGGAAGAAAAUGACGGUACCUGAUUCAGAAGCACCGGCUACCUACGUGCCAGCAGCCGCGGUAAUACGUAGGGGGCAAGCGUUAUCCGGAUUUACUGGGUGGAAAGGGAGCGUCGACGGUGAUGCAAGUCAGAAGUGAAAGGCCGGGGCUCAAAUCCGGGACUGCUUUUGAAACUGUGUGACUGGAGUGCAGGAGAGGUAAGCGGAAUUCCUGGUGUAGCGGUGAAAUGCGUAGAUAUCAGGAGGAACACCAGGGGCGAAGGCGGCUUACUGGACUGUAACUGACGUUGAGGCUCGAAAGCGUGGGGAGCAAACAGGAUUAGAUACCCCUGUAGUC